UAACUAUAAUUAAAUCUAGAAAAAAUCCCAUGUUGCAUUGCAGCCCUUCAAUGCAUCAUGACAUGUUCUCAAUCUCCAUUACUAUGUCCCCCAAUGUGACCUAGAAACCGGAAUAUCCCUGGUCAGCAGCCUAUUUCUAAACCUUUAUUUACAUUACAGUUGAGAGUUGAGAGAACAUAAAAUAUGUCCCAAGAAAGCCCAUAAAAUAACACUUACAGAAUCUUGAGCAUGUGUUGUUAUUUCUAUUGUUCUCUACUACAUUUGCACAUCAAAUCAACUUAUUUACUGUGUAUGUAUAAAUCAACUUGUUAUGAAAACAUAUAUGUUCAGAUUUGGAGGAUUUUCUUUCCUUAUUUUUGUUGGCUCUAUAGUGUCAGUUUUAGCCUUGAAAUUGUUGCACGAUAGAUUUGGUGUCAUCAUAUAAAGAUUUAAACUCUCCCUGUUUCCGAUAACUUUAACAUAAAAGGUAUUCAAACACUAGCAGACAAACAACCGUAUCCUAUAUCUCUUUUAUCUUGCUCAGCAUAGAUAACAUUCUUAUAGGAGCCUAAUGCUGACAUUCAUACCUAUACUUGUAAUGAAACAAAAAAUUAAAGAUUGGAGAUGACAAUCAUGUUAUUAAAAAAUCCACUAUAUGAAAAGACACCGCACUAUAGUUAAGAAUUAAGAAAACAAUUAGGAGAAAAGAAAACAAUUGGGAAGGAAGAAGAGUUGUUGUGCCUCCGAGCAGCUAGUACAGCCUGCCCUAUUAUCUAUUAGUUGAAUUUUUCUGACUACAUUAAAAUAAGGAAAUGAAAAAAAACUGUAAAUUCUAACAAAAUACAUUAAAAAUAAGAGAAAUUAAAUACAUUGAUGAGAAUUCUUUAAAAAGUUAGUCAAGAGAUCGAAAUGGAGAAAUUGUACCAGCUAUAUAUGUGACUAGUCCCGCUAUACUCUCCACAAGAAACAAAUAUUCAACCUUGUCUUGCAAUACAUGAGACCAAAAUUUUGUAAGCCAUCUUAGGUCAGCAAUCAAUAGAUGUAUAUGCAAAAGGUCACAUAAGUCGCAUGCCUCCUAAAAAGUUUGUGGUGGUGUCUGUAGGUACACAAAUCAAUCGAGCACAAAAGAAAAUAGAAGUAUAAAAGUCCUUUAAAAAAAAGGCAAUCGAACUAAAGAGAGACGUUGUUGAUUCAUUUAGCAUCACCUGUUGUACCUCUCAUGAAGUAUAGUUGCAUACGCCAAUGUCAGUUUAUAUGCAUACAUAUGAAUCUGAAAAUUUCAAGAUACUUCACAAUGCUCUCUAUCUCUCUCACACAUGCAAACUUCUCUAAAAGGAAUAUCCUCAAUUUUUUACUAUAAGUUGAUCAUGUGAGACAUUAUAUCCAUCAGAUUUGAAGCCAAAUAUAAAAGAAAAUCAUCUCCCUCCUUGUGCCUCUUCUCCUUUCCUCUUCCCCCAGUUCUGCCACGUAUUCCUAUUUUCCCAACCUCCAUUGUAGCUAGGCGAGAAAAGAAGGGGAGUGGCAGAGGAGGAUGAGGGAAUGGCAAUGGGUGGCAGUGGGAGGAGGUCAUAAGCGAAGAGUGUAGUGAUGGAGGAUUUAGUGGAGCAGUGGGUGCUCAUGGAAGAAUAUGGUUACCGUGGUAGAGGGGUUGAAUGAAGAGAAGGUUGCGAGAGCAAGCAAUGAAAGGUGAGAGGAACCUAGGGGAAGCAGAUGUUGUAAUCGAGGAGAAAUCAGAGGGAAAGACGACCUUGGUGAGAGGAGGGUUCACUUGGAUUAGAAGUCAAAAAUGGGUCUACCAAAAUUAUUCUCUGAAGUCUUCUACUAUAAUUCACUUUUUCUUUGAACCAACCAGAAGAUAACUUAUUGUGCAUGUUUUUAAUACCCUACAGUACUGUAGUUUGAUGUUACUUAAACUCGCACUACAUUGAUUGAGGAGUCUUAGAAAGAUAGGAUCUAGAUUAUGCAUCUUUUGAGGGAUAAUCCCACCUCAUGGAUCUCUGAUAUUCUAGAGGACGGAGGUAAUAUUCUUUUGCAAGGACUGUGGUCCCUGCAAGUUCUUCUUUGUUAGAAGAGCACAAUGAAGAUAGGACUUUUCUGUCUCUCUUUGAACAAGAAUAAACAAUAACUUUGAACACAUGGCUCAAAUUUUUUAUAGCAUCACAUAUUCAAACCAACUAAACAACACACUUAGCAAUAUUCAAAUAAAACCCUAGAAUCCUCUUACCUAUUUGAGGGUUCGGGAGAUAGCCUCCGACUUGAGCAUGUCGGCGCGCCAGCGGGGCACGACUUCUACCUCGAUCAUGUAGAUGGAAGGAGUGUAGCAAUUAAGGGGUGGGGGCUUAGCCAGGCUGAGAGCGAAUGGAGAUGGAGGAGGGCUGACAUGGUUGUGUGUCAGAUGCCCUGUUGGAAUGAGGGAAAAAGGCGAGGGAUAGCUCCAAUACCUUGCCGGAAUGGAGGAAGAAAAGGUGGUAGGUAUGGAUUAGGGAUUAGAGGGCUGUCAGAUAGUUUUUCUCCUAAAAUUAUUUUUUUUAAAAAAAAAGAGGGCAAACUAGUAAUUUCUCACUCCCCAUUAACUUUGGUGGACGGCUGGGGCACAUUGUAACCAAUUCGUAACUUUUGGGUUCUAAUUGAAAAAUUAGAACUUUUGGGGUGUAAGUGCAAAUCGCAAAAAGUUGAAGGGGUUUCUCUAUAAUUUAUCCUAAAUUUUAAUUAUUAACUUGAUAUGGACCUAUUUACAGUAGCGGUACUGUUCAUGGCAUUCUUCAUACUAUAGGAAUAAUGAACAAUGAUCAUGCGUUAUUAGGGAUAGUUCUAAGAUGUUAAAAGAGUCAUUAGGAUUUCUAUUUUGUUAGAAAAUGGGACUAUUAGGGUUUCAUGUAAUCAGACUUCAUGUAUUGUAAAUAAAAUUAUGUAGCUUUUGGUUUUCGUGACUCUUGUGAUGUGAUUCCAUAGUAGAGGUAUUUGACAACAAAUUCGGUAUUAUCCUUCUUAUUUUACUGCUUUCUUCUGCCUUCAGCUUUGCUUCCUUUUGUUUUCUAUGGCCUAGUUGUUUUGUUGUCGAUGUGAACUAAUCUGCAACAGAACCAUACUAGACCCUCACAACCUGCAAAACUAACAACAUAGAAAGUUGUUCCUUUUGUGUCAUUGCUAGCCAUUUGUCGAAGGCAAACAACCACCUAUCAGGGUCAGAUCAUGGUUGUCGUCAUAGUAGACCUUGUUCUGGUAGAUCAUAGCUAUUGUCAUUCCAGACGUUGUUUUGGUAUUGCAGCGAGCCUAUCAUAUUUUCAUUACAACCGAUGAUUUAUGCCUACAAACUCUAACCUUGCUGUCCCUAACACUUGUAGAUUCUCAGAUCUGGAAACUGUAGAAUCAAAUCUGUUGUUACCAUCUUUAUUAUUUAUCCUCGAAUCUAUUCUUAUAAUCCAACAACAGACCCCUCUUUCUAGUAAAAAACACAGUUGAUUGCUUUGUUUUAUUUAAAACCCUAAAGUUACUACUAAGCUGGAAUUUCCAACAACAUAAUAGGUUUAAGUCUUUGCUUCCCUAUACCCUAUAGACCUAUACCAUUUAGACUAUCCUACAUCGGUUUGGUAUCAGAGCUUCUGGUAAGCCACCAUGUUCUGUCAUAGCAGCCGAUCCAAUUUAUGGAUCAUAUCUACUUAUGAACAUGUCCGUAAUGAAAAUUUCACUAUCCUGAACUAGAUGAGUUUUUGAAUUGGAUCACAGAUUUAGAAGAUUGUUUUGAUUGGUACAUUAUGUAUGACCAGAUGCAAGUCUAUUUUACUAAUUCAAAACUAAAAGGUGCAGUCUGCAUAUGGUGGAGAGGCAUAGAGGAUAGGAUUAUUUGUUGAGGCCAAGCUCGUAUUAUCAAUUGGGAAGGGAUGACGAAAUUGUUUAAGGUAUCUCCUAUUAUCAACAUCAGAAUGGAUAUGACCAACCUAUUUUCAAAAAGACUCCAAGAGAAGAAUUUGGAAAAAUGGAAGAAACUUCUCGAUUUUCAAAAAUCAAGUUGGUGAAAGAUCUUUGUUUUGUGGUGGAAGACUUGUAGAAAAGAAAUGUAGACAAAGAAGUCGAGCACCUCUUUUCUCAGAGAACUGGCAGACGUGCAGAUGCAAGAAUAGUGAAGCUUAUUUCAGUUGAAAGCCAUAAUAAAGUACCUUAAGAUCAUACUGGGAUAUAGGGCAACAAUUCAGCAAAGAUAGGAUCAAGUCCAUUUGUGUGGCAAUGGAACUGAAAGAAGAGAUAAAGGAGUUACCUAAAUAAUUUUAUAAUGUACAAGGUCGUAAAGAUAUAGUGGAAGAAAAGAUAGUCAUGGAAAAAACUUUUUGAGAUUCUCAUUUUAAGGAAGAGCUUAAUGAAAUAAAAGAUUCUGCUAUAAUGUUAGAAGAAAAGGUGACAUCUAUUUCUGAUCCUUCAAAAGAAGGCUAUUUUGAUGCUGAAUUUCCGUCGGAUGUUAAAAAAGUCGGAAAACUUGCCUAUUAUGAUUCUCAUAAAUUUAAUGAACAAGACCUACAGGUUCCAUCAAACCUUGGAGAAAUUGUCUGCUUAAAAGAAAUAAAUGUUGAUAAUGGUUUCUUCGUGCAACGCAACAUUGUGAUGGUCAAAGCUAAUAUGAAAACUAAUGAAACUUGGGCUGAUUCAAAGCAGGUCAAAAAUUAAUUCUACCAAGAACAAACAGAUUACAUGUGAAAAGCAGUUUAAAAUCUACUCACAAUCAAGGUACGCUGAACCAGUAUCGGUUAGCAUACCCAGUUCGGGCCGUAUCAUACCAGUACCAACCCGGUCUGCCGCGCGGGCGCGCUGCCCUACAGAAAAAAAUUCUCCGCAUUUCCCACACAUUUCCUCGCAUUUCUACGAGCGAGGCUAUGUGCAAGAUGUGCGCGGCUGCAUGUUUUUCUUUAUCUUUUCUUUUCUUUUCUUUUCCUUCUCUUCUUCCUUCUUCCCGAUUCUUCUCCUCUCUCCUCCUCUCUUUCCCCCCUUUUCUCGUGAGCAAGGAAGGGUGAGCACCCCGACGAGGAUCACCCUGAUGAGGCCCGGUACCGGUAAGUCUUCUUCUCCUCUUUCUUUCUCUUCUUCCUCUUCUUUCUUCCUCUUCUUUCUUCCUUCUUCCUUGCACACGCAGGCGCGCUGCCCUACAUGUACCGGUGCGAACUGGUCCGAUUCGCACCGGUACGCAGCGGAAACUGUUUUCAACUGCUGAACCGCACCGGUUGGCUUCAGUACCGAUACGGUACGUGUUGAACCGGCCGGUUCAGCAUACCAUGCUCACAAUAUGGCACAACAUUCAAUAAUUGGUAUCCAACUUUGACCUAAAAGAACUCGAGAUCAGAUUCCAGCAACAGAACUGAAUGAUGGAGAUCGAGAACAUAUCAUGGUGCAUUGAAGUGUGGAUUUUUCUUAGAUUUCAUUAUGGUUAUCGAUUUUCUUUUUUUAUUUAUUUUCUAUUAUUUUUAGUUUUUAGUAGGCCUUUUAAAGUCAAAGGCUGAGAUUAAAAGAUAUCAGAUUUUGAUUGUUCAUGGUGAGCAAUAACUAUACCUUAUUAGGGGCAGUUUUGGAAUUUUAGAAGUCUCGAAUCAGGGUUUCUGUUUUGUUCUAAAACUGGACGCUUAAGGUUUGAUGUAAUCAUACUUUACGCAGAUUAUGAAUGAAAGAUGGGAGUUUUUGGUUUUCUUUGCUCUUGUGGUGUGAUUCCGUAUGGGAGCUUUAAGGCCUCCGAACCCUAGAUGUGAUUCUUAGGCCAUGGAGCGAGUCUGAUAUUAUCCUUCCUCUCUUUGGACUGCUUUCUGUGGAAUCACACCUAGGAUUUGAUGUUGUAUGUAGUCAUUUUGAUGAUCAUAUGCUGUCAUCUUAUGAGACUACUGCAAAGUUUAUUCUCAUUGAUGCACUUUUCAUGUGAUCAAUUCUUUAGUGUGUAGUUGUAAGGUAAGGCUGGGUUGGUUAUUUUACCAUCUUGCCGAUGCUGAUGUGCUAGCCUGGAUAAACUUAAUUUGGGCCUAUUUCUCAUAUUUCUUUUGACCAAUGAUACACUCCUUUCGGUGGUUUCAAGCCACUGUCAAUUUUUGCACACAGAUAAUUUUAGAUGAUGAUACUUAUUAAUAAUUGCAGCCCUUGCUUGGACCACACCUUGUAACCUGCCAAAAGUUUUGCACCAAAAAAAGCUACAUUGUGUCCCUGCUAUCAUUUUGGUUCCCGCCUCAACAAUGAUGGCCUGACACUGUGAAUUACAUCAACCUUUGUUUGUUGCACCAGUUCUGCCCAACUAGAUCAGAUUGGGAGCAAGUUUGGUAAUGGUGCCAGGCGUUGUGUGAUAACUUGUUUAUGUGAUUCUUUGUUGCAUCUCUAACUCUUUGGGUCUUCACAGUUAGUUUUGACAGGGUCUUCUCAUCAUCGAAAAGUAGUUUCGGAGGGAACCAUUAUUUUGUUGUAGAUGUUUGUAGAACUUGGUUUAAGCUGCUCCAAUUGUUUCCACUGUAUUGUGCAGGUUCAAUUGGUAAUCCUGAAUGCUAAGUUACCAAGAACAACAAUAACCUCCUAUGUAUCUGAUUAAAAUUUUCUUGCAUGCAGUGUUGUUGGAACAGUUACGUGCAAUCUUGUUUCUAUCCUUUCUUCAGAUUAAAAGAAUGAAAUACCAGGGGCACAUAAAAGACCACAGGAAUUCAAGCAACCCUACGUGGUAGGAGGAAAAGACAGCGAGCUGCUCGGAAAAGAAGCGGUGCUUCUAGAAAGGUUGAGCAGCCAAUCAGACAUCAAACCUUCAAACAACGGCUCAUCCAGUAGUGAACUUCAGAAAGAAACUGAGGAAGCCGCUUUUUGAGGGAAUCUAGACGAGAAAUCCGACGAACUUGAGGCCGGGUCAGAAGUCAUGAAUGAGAUUGCUGAUAAAAAUAAGAACUGCCAAGCCAGGGCGGUUGGAUCCUUUGUCACUCAGGUAAUCAGCGGUGGCACAUCUGUUAUGACCUGGUUUGGUUGGAGGAUGAACAUCGCUAGAUAACAAACAAAACUCUUUCUUUUUCCGAUUGUAACGAUGGAGAACAUCUUUCAAACACGCUGAGCAACCGGUGAUGCUGAAGUACUAAACGUAUUGACAGUUUUUCAUUACAAGAAGCAAAAAACACUUUAGGAUGAUCCGUGCGAAGCGUGCAGAGCAGAAUUUGAGAUUUGUGCUUGGCGAAAGAUUCGCUUCUGCACAACAGGUUUUAUUUGCAUCCAUCAUCCUAUCUAGCACAUUAGCUCAAGUUUCUCGAGGUGAUGUCUCAGCCGAUGCUCAUUAACAGUUCAAUUCGACCAGAUGAUACGUGCUCUGCAUGUGCUUAUUUCAUACAAAGUAUAUAAUAUAAUCACCAUGUUGUAUUAUUGGCUGUGUAACAAUUAUCACAGCUCAAUGCAUGAAGAUUUACCAUAUCCUAAUAUUAUAACAGCUUUAAUGCAAAGCUGAUGCUAUUAAUUUCCAGUUUUA
Phoenix dactylifera (date palm) is the source of this 7435-nucleotide non-coding RNA. Lineage: Eukaryota; Viridiplantae; Streptophyta; Magnoliopsida; Arecales; Arecaceae. The record is from RefSeq and is a predicted model, not a curated record.